Long non-coding RNA from Hevea brasiliensis (rubber tree), 224 nucleotides. RefSeq lists it as uncharacterized. The record is from RefSeq and is a predicted model, not a curated record. The transcript has 3 exons. NCBI's taxonomy places the organism in Eukaryota, Viridiplantae, Streptophyta, Magnoliopsida, Malpighiales, Euphorbiaceae.
GCGUUCCCGAAGUCGGAAUCGGCAAAGGUGAGCCGGGACAGCCUUCUUCCUCCGCCCAGCCGCCACAGUAAUUUGUCGUCAAGUCUGAAAAUGCGUAGAAGCAGGAGAGCUGCCACUGCACCAGAACCAGAUGUGCCCGACGAAGUGUCGGCACAGGAUGAGGCGCCUGCCCCGAGGAGGCGGGGUAGGAGGCCUAGAGCUGCUCAAGUAGAGGAGCAGCCAAC